This 381-nucleotide ribosomal RNA is filed under the name Ophiocordyceps sinensis. Its description in RNAcentral is "SSU rRNA". It matches the Rfam family "Eukaryotic small subunit ribosomal RNA", at positions 630 to 1016 of the family's 1831-position model. Lineage: Eukaryota; Fungi; Ascomycota; Sordariomycetes; Hypocreales; Ophiocordycipitaceae. The record is from RNAcentral.
GUAGUUGAACCUUGGGCCUGGCUGGCCGGUCCGCCUCACCGCGUGUACUGGUCCGGCCGGGCCUUUCCCUCUGUGGAACCCCAUGCCCUUCACUGGGUGUGGCGGGGAAACAGGACUUUUACUUUGAAAAAAUUACAGUGCUCCAGGCAGGCCUAUGCUCGAAUACAUUAGCAUGGAAUAAUGAAAUAGGACGUGCGGUUCUAUUUUGUUGGUUUCUAGGACCGCCGUAAUGAUUAAUAGGGACAGUCGGGGGCAUCACUAUUCAAUUGUCAGAGGUGAAAUUCUUGGAUUUAUUGAAGACUAACUACUGCGAAAGCAUUUGCCAAGGAUGUUUUCAUUAAUCAGGAACGAAAGUUAGGGGAUCGAAGACGAUCAGAUCCC